CCGUUUUUCCCUAAUUUUUUUUUUUUUUGAAAAGUAAAAAUGUAACAAGGUUUCCAUCAGGUGAACCUGAAGGAAGAGGAUCAUUAUUGAAAUUUAAUGUAGAGUUGGUUGUAGCUGGCCUUUGAAUUAAUUUUUCUGUGGCAUGUGCACACCUUCUCUUUCAUCCACACACACCUGUGAACUUGUGAGACAGUAAGUUUGGGGACUUUAUUGAACCCACUUCUGUCUACUUAAUUUAUAUAAAAUCAAUUUAUUUUAAAACGAAUGUAAUGGAUGUAACGCAUCUAAUACUAAGUUUCAACAACGGAUCUCUUGGCUCUCGCAUCGAUGAAGAACGCAGCGAAAUGCGAUAAGUAAUGUGAAUUGCAGAAUUCAGUGAAUCAUCGAAUCUUUGAACGCACCUUGCGCUCCUUGGUAUUCCUUGGAGCAUGCCUGUUUGAGUAUCAUGAAAUCUUCAAAGUAAAUCUUUUGUUAAUUCAAUUGGUUUUCUACUUUGGUAUUGGAGGUCUUUGCAGUUUCACACCUGCUCCUCUUUGUGUAUUAGCUGGAUCUCAGUGUUAUGCUUGGUUCCACUCAGCGUGAUAAGUUAUCUAUCGCUGAGGACACUGUAAAAAGGUGGCCAAGGUAAAUGCAGAUGAACCGCUUCUAAUAGUCCAUUUACUUGGACAAAAAUUAAAUUUUUAUGAUCUGAUCUCAAAUCAGGUGAGGACAGUACACCGUCUGAACUUAAGCAUAUCAUAAGGCGGAGGAAAAAGGAACUUGGUCACGACGCGGGA
Molecule: ribosomal RNA, 776 nt
Filed under: Rhizoctonia solani
Lineage: Eukaryota; Fungi; Basidiomycota; Agaricomycetes; Cantharellales; Ceratobasidiaceae
Description: eukaryotic LSU rRNA
Rfam family: 5.8S ribosomal RNA (bases 293-446)
Source: RNAcentral